AAAAAAAAAAAUCAAACUAGAGCAGACGCUUUAGUCGCGUUUUCUCCAUUCUGUUCGCUGACGGUUCCCAACGAAGGGAAGGCGGGGAAUUUUUGAUGAAUUGAUCAUUACUAUUCUUGCGUUACUCUUUUAGCCGUCGUAAAUGUGUUCACGCUCAUUAACACAGUUUGACAGCGACAACGAUGAUGUUGAGGAGGAGCGGAACCCCCAUGAAACUCCAGAAAAGGAAAUUCUUUGGGCUGCAGCUGAAGGAGAUAUAAAUGUAAUUAGAAAUUUACUUCAAAAUAAUCCAGCUUUGGUGCAUGUGAAAGAUCAGGAUGGCUACAGCGCUCUCCACAGAGCUUGCUAUGAAAAUCAUGUGAAUAUUGUGGAAUUAUUACUGAAAAACAAAUCCAACAUUCAUGCAUUGACUAAUGAAAUGUGGCAACCAUUGCAUUCAGCUUGCAAAUGGAAUAGCAGUUUGUGUGUGACAUUAUUGUUGGAAAGGGGUGCAAGUAUCAAUGCAGUUACAAAGGGUGGGCUUACACCUCUGCAUUUGGCAUCAUCUAAUUCAACUGCUUAUGAAACCUUAAUUGUCUUGUUAAACCACCCAUUAGUCAAUCCAAGAAUUUUGAGUAACAAUGGUGAAACAGCUUGGGAAAUUUCCCGUAGAUGUGGUCCGUACUCGCGACUUUUUGAUAUGGUAAAUGAAGCUGUCAAUGAAAUAUAAACUCAAUCAUUAAGUCUGUCCUCAGUAUCAUUGUGUCACUUCUGAAGAACUAUUUGACCUGUCAAGUUCAGCAUUAACUAAAGGUUUGGUAAUGUUCUUGCCUGUGGAAAUUCUAGAACAAAAUAAAGAUAAUAGAAAUUCUGUAAAGAAAUCCUUAACUGCACAAUCAGCAAGAGUCAAGGAAUGCUUUAUUAGAGACUGACUAUCAUUUAACAGUGCUUCACGAGCAUGGCAAUUGGUUUGAUAAUAAAAAUAAUUUUGUGUAA
RNA transcript from Daphnia magna, 975 nucleotides. It is a transcript of the gene named ankyrin repeat domain-containing protein 49, with no coding region annotated. The record is from RefSeq and is a predicted model, not a curated record. The transcript has 4 exons. Lineage: Eukaryota; Metazoa; Arthropoda; Branchiopoda; Diplostraca; Daphniidae.